GGAGUCCAAACGAACGAACGAGAUGUGGAUUGAUAAGAGUAAUAAUUAUUGAAUAUGUAAAUGCAAAGGGUAGCGAAUUAUGGAGUAGAGUUCCGCAAUUGUAUUCCAACUGGGUUGUAAAUGAACAAAUAGAGUAUAGACAUUUAUUAUUUGGAUUGUACUUUGGAUAUAAUCGUGAAAUAAAUUAUUGGGCCUGAAUCCACAAUUGUGAGUAGAAUGCGAGUUUUAAAUAGUACAGGCUUACUACGGGCUUCGGGGACCUUAACCCUACCCAGGUCCUAGUGCCGGUCGGCCCAUGGAAAUGGGUCGUGACACUGAUAUAAUGAAAAACUGAUGCCUAGGUUUGG
RNAcentral lists this long non-coding RNA (347 nucleotides) under Jatropha curcas. RNAcentral's name for it is "long non-coding RNA (JCUR_LNC001626)". The record is from RNAcentral. Lineage: Eukaryota; Viridiplantae; Streptophyta; Magnoliopsida; Malpighiales; Euphorbiaceae.